UACUGCACAAUGGGGGAAACCCUGAUGCAGCGACGCCGCGUGAAGGAAGAAGUAUCUCGGUAUGUAAAGCUCUAUCAGCAGGGAAGAAAAUGACGGUACCUGAAUAAGAAGCCACGGCUAACUACGUGCCAGCAGCCGCGGUAAUACGUGGGGGGCAAGCGUUAUCCGGAUUUACUGGGUGUAAAGGGAUCGUAGACGGUUAUGCAAGUCUGGAGUGAAAGCCCGGGGCUCAACCCCGGGACUGCUUUGGAAACUGUAAAACUGGAGUGCAGGAGAGGCAGGCGGAAUUCCUAGUGUAGCGGUGAAAUGCGUAGAUAUUAGGAGGAACACCAGUGGCGAAGGCGGCCUGCUGGACUGUAACUGACGUUGAGGCUCGAAGGCGUGGGGAGCAAA
Molecule: ribosomal RNA, 393 nt
Filed under: uncultured bacterium
Lineage: Bacteria
Description: bacterial SSU rRNA
Rfam family: Bacterial small subunit ribosomal RNA
Source: RNAcentral